RNAcentral lists this ribosomal RNA (876 nucleotides) under uncultured bacterium. Its description in RNAcentral is "bacterial SSU rRNA". It matches the Rfam family "Bacterial small subunit ribosomal RNA", at positions 40 to 935 of the family's 1533-position model. The record is from RNAcentral.
UGGCAUGGAUUAGGCAUGCAAGUCGAGCGCUCAUCAGCAAUGGUGGGAGCGGCGAACGGCGUAGUAAGACGUAGGAACGUACCCUCAGGACGGGGAUAGCUACGGGAAACUGUAGGUAAUACCCGAUAACCUCCGCGGAGCAAAGGUGUGAUUCCGCCUGGGGAGCGGCUUACGCGAUAUUAGCUAGUUGGUGGGGUAAUGGCCUACCAAGGCGAUGAUGUCUAGGGGGUGUGAGAGCAUGGCCCCCACGACCGGAACUGAGAUACUGUCCGGACACCUACGGGUGGCUGCAGUCGAGAAUCUUCCGCAAUGGACGAAAGUCUGACGGAGCGACGCCGCGCGCGGGAUGAAGGCCCUUGGGUUGUAAACCGCUGUCAGAGGGGAUGAAAUCUUCGGAGGUACUCCUCCGAAGUUGACAGAGCCUCAAAGGAAGCACGGGCUAAGUACGUGCCAGCAGCCGCGGUAACACGUACUGUGCGAACGUUAUUCGGAAUCACUGGGCUUAAAGGGUGCGUAGGCGGCGAUUCAAGUCAGAUGUGAAAUGCCUGAGCUCAACUGAGGCAUUGCGUUUGAAACUGAUUUGCUAGAGUGUCCUAGGGGUGUGCGGAACUGCCAGUGGAACGGUGAAAUGUGUUGAUAUUGGCAGGAACACCGGAGGCGAAGGCGGCACACUGGGGGAUAACUGACGCUGAGGCACGAAAGCCAAGGGAGCGAACGGGAUUAGAUACCCCGGUAGUCUUGGCCGUAAACGAUGAGUACUGGGCGGGAGGGGGUUUCCCCUUUCUGCCGUAGNGAAAGCGUUAAGUACUCCGCCUGGGGAGUAUGGUCGCAAGGCUGAAANUCAAAGGAAUUGACGGGGGCUCACACAAGCGGUGG